UUUUAAAUGCGUUUAUUAAAUGCGUUCGUCUAAGAUUAUUAUUUAAGAUUAUUCUUGUAUAUAUAUUUCAAUAAUAAUAAUUCUUAAUAUAAAUUUUUAAACCACAAAUUAAGAUAUAUAGUAGCAUAGUAAUUUGUUAACUGAAUAUUAAAGUGUUCCAUAGAAAAUUUUUAAAUUACAACAAAAAAAAUAAAUUAUGAAUUAAAAUAAAAAUUUUAAUAAAAAUUAAAAAAUUAAAAUAGGGCAAGUCCUACUCUCCUUUACAAAGAGAACAUUGUUUUUAAUAUGUAAUUGUAUGUUUGAUUGGGGCAAUACUAUAUUUAUUUAUAUAGAAUAAGAACUAUAUUUUUUGAAAUAAUAAAAGGUUCGAGCAGGUUAACAAGCAUUAAUACUAAAUGUGUUUCAUCGUCUACUUAUUACCAUGAUUGAUUGUUCAUCAAAAUAGUAAUUCGUUAGUUGGGUUAAAAUCGUUGUAAAGCAGAUUUGUUUAUAUAUUUAAUUUUAAUAUAUAUAUAUAAUUAAUAUAAGUACGCAAGGAUUGAUUAUUAGUAUAUGUAUCUUUUGA
This 565-nucleotide ribosomal RNA is filed under the name Trypanosoma congolense IL3000. Its description in RNAcentral is "Trypanosomatid mitochondrial large subunit ribosomal RNA". It matches the Rfam family "Trypanosomatid mitochondrial large subunit ribosomal RNA". Lineage: Eukaryota; Euglenozoa; Kinetoplastea; Trypanosomatida; Trypanosomatidae. The record is from Rfam by way of RNAcentral.